UGCAUUAUAUAUUCUAGUUAAUACUGAUACUUAAAAUUUUCCAAAAAGAUGCCCGAAUAAAAAACAUUGCUUGUGAAAGAUGGAAGUUCAACAUGGAAAUUAGAUCUUUUCAAAUAUUGUCUCAUUUAAAGAAUCAAGUACUGGCAGAACUAACGCCAAUGAUCUUACAGUAUAAAUGAAAACAUGAAGACUGAAUCAAAGAACCACUAUCAGAAAAUGGAUGUGAAG
RNAcentral lists this long non-coding RNA (228 nucleotides) under Mytilus galloprovincialis (Mediterranean mussel). Lineage: Eukaryota; Metazoa; Mollusca; Bivalvia; Mytilida; Mytilidae. The record is from RNAcentral.